RNAcentral lists this unclassified non-coding RNA (155 nucleotides) under uncultured Cladophialophora. RNAcentral describes it as "sequence contains ITS2". Lineage: Eukaryota; Fungi; Ascomycota; Eurotiomycetes; Chaetothyriales; Herpotrichiellaceae. The record is from RNAcentral.
UCACUAAUCAAGCCCGGCUUGCUGUUGGACCUCUUGUCGUCAAAAGACAGGCCCCAAAGAUAAUGACGGUGUUAUUAGAACCCUAGAUGCAACGAGCUUUAACCAGCACGCAUGAUAGUGGCCUUUUAACCCGGUCUUUUUUAACCAUUUUUUAA